CAGAGAAUAGUUUAAUGUAGAAUCUUAGCUUUGGGAGUUAAGGGUGAGAGUUGAAU
Molecule: transfer RNA, 56 nt
Filed under: Acipenser ruthenus x Huso huso (bester)
Lineage: Eukaryota; Metazoa; Chordata; Actinopteri; Acipenseriformes; Acipenseridae
Description: partial tRNA-Pro
Source: RNAcentral